GAUGAACGCUGGCGGCGUGCCUAAUACAUGCAAGUCGAGCGAACAGACGAGGAGCUUGCUCCUCUGACGUUAGCGGCGCACGGGUGAGUAACACGUGGAUAACCCACCUAUCAGACUGGGAUAACUUCGGGAAACAGGAGCUCAUACCGCAUAAUAUAUUGAACCGCAUAGUUCAAUAGUGAAAGGCGGGUUUGCUGUCACUUAUAGAUGGAUCCGCGCCGUAUUAGCUAGUUGGUAAGGUAAAGGCUCACCAAGGCGACGAUGCGUAGCCGACCUGAGAGGGUGAUCGGCCACACUGGAACUGAGACACGGCCCAGACUCCUACGGGAGGCAGCAGUAGGGAAUCUUCCGCAAUGGGCGAAAGCCUGACGGAGCAACGCCGCGUGAGUGAAGAAGGUCUUCGGAUCGUAAAACUCUGUUGUUAGGGAAGAACAAAUAUGUAAGUAACUAAGCAGUUCUUGACGGUACCUAAUCAGAAAGCCACGGCUAACUACGUG
RNAcentral lists this ribosomal RNA (497 nucleotides) under uncultured bacterium. RNAcentral describes it as "partial 16S ribosomal RNA". It matches the Rfam family "Bacterial small subunit ribosomal RNA", at positions 28 to 507 of the family's 1533-position model. The record is from RNAcentral.